UGCCAUCUUCAGCAAACCCUAAAAAGGAAGAAAAGUAAGCACAAGUAUCUUAACAUAAAAAAGUUAGGUCAAGGUGUAGCCCAUGAGAUGGGGAAGUAAUGGGCUACAUUUUCUACAACUAGAACAUCCACGAAAUUCCUUAUGAAAUUA
Molecule: ribosomal RNA, 150 nt
Filed under: Panthera tigris (tiger)
Lineage: Eukaryota; Metazoa; Chordata; Mammalia; Carnivora; Felidae
Description: partial 12S ribosomal RNA
Source: RNAcentral